UGAUCCAGCAAUGCCGCGUGAGUGAAGAAGGCCUUCGGGUUGUAAAGCUCUUUUGUCAGGGAAGAAAAGGCUGUGGCUAAUAUCCACAGCUGCUGACGGUACCUGAAGAAUAAGCACCGGCUAACUACGUGCCAGCAGCCGCGGUAAUACGUAGGGUGCAAGCGUUAAUCGGAAUUACUGGGCGUAAAGCGUGCGCAGGCGGUUUUAUAAGUCUGAUGUGAAAUCCCCGGGCUCAACCUGGGAACUGCAUUGGAGACUGUAAGGCUAGAGUGUGUCAGAGGGGGGUGGAAUUCCACGUGUAGCAGUGAAAUGCGUAGAUAUGUGGAGGAAUACCGAUGGCGAAGGCAGCCCCCUGGGAUAACACUGACGCUCAUGCACGAAAGCGUGGGGAGCAAACAGGAUUAGAUACCCUGGUAGUCCACGCCCUAAACGAUGUCAACUAGUUGUCGGGUCUUAAUUGACUUGGUAACGCAGCUAACGCGUGAAGUUGACCGCCUGGGGAGUACGGUCGCAAGAUUAAAACUCAAGG
Molecule: ribosomal RNA, 529 nt
Filed under: uncultured bacterium
Lineage: Bacteria
Description: bacterial SSU rRNA
Rfam family: Bacterial small subunit ribosomal RNA
Source: RNAcentral